This 103-nucleotide small nuclear RNA is filed under the name Dasypus novemcinctus (nine-banded armadillo). The record is from RNAcentral. Lineage: Eukaryota; Metazoa; Chordata; Mammalia; Cingulata; Dasypodidae.
GUGCUCACUUCCAGCAGCACAUAUACUAAAAUUGGAAUGAUAGAGAUUAGCAUGGCCCCCAUGCAAGGAUGAUGUGCAAAUUUGUAAAGUGCUCCAUAUUUUU